UAAUUUUCCCUUAAAUUAAAAAUUUAUAUACCGCCCUCUAAAAAACUAAUUUUAUAAUAAUAUUUUAAAAAAAAAAUAAAAAGUUAGGUCAAGGUGUAAUCAACAUUUAAGUAAAACAUGGGUUACUUUAAAAAUAAUUUAAGGAUUUUUAUAUAAAAAUAUUUUUUCAAAAAGGAUUUAAAAGUAAUAAUAAAAUAAUAUUUUAUUAUGAUUAAGAUAAUAAAUGUGU
Molecule: ribosomal RNA, 229 nt
Filed under: Lycosa hispanica
Lineage: Eukaryota; Metazoa; Arthropoda; Arachnida; Araneae; Lycosidae
Description: partial 12S ribosomal RNA
Source: RNAcentral